CCUCCUGGGUGCAGAGGAGGUAGUUGAAAGGAAUCUGAGGACUGGCAGGUGGAAGCUGCAGCUCACGUGGUCACAGACGAAAUCUGUAACAAGCCCAAGGUUCUUGACCCCCCUGUGUGACGAAGGGGUUGCAUGUUCCAACUCACGGCCUGCUUCUUUAAAGCAACACCAGACUGGGAGAGCAAACUCAAAUACCUACAGAGGCCAGGCAGGGGACACGAGUGCCUGAAGCAGGCUGGGCCUAAGACGAUAGGGAGUGGUGGUGACUGUGGAAAAUGAGACCCAGGAACAGUCUAACGGGGACACUGGCAACUUAGCUCCAACUACACAUCAGACCAAGCAGAAGUGUAGGACCAGGGUAGCAGAUCUGACAAUCUUCCAAAAGCAGAAAUUCUGAAUCUUGUGUAAAAAUCCCCCAAUGGCAGAUUCUGUAAAAUUGAAACAAAAUUAAACUCAUAGCGCCCCUGCAGCCCAAGCAUAACGUAUCUUUGCCUAAAUCUACAAAGGAAGGUCCAUUUUGUGACCUUGGAUGUAGACACUAUGUUGGCAUCGUCUAGCGGAGUGGAAUAUGAGGCCCGAUUUAGAAAACAGACAAGUCAGAGCUGUUCUGGGGCAGAGCAGCCAGAUGGGACCACAUCUUGGCCGCCCUUUCCAGCUCCAAGGUGUUGGCCCCAGACUUUCUAAAGUGACGAUUCUUCCCCAGGUUCACGGGAGCCCCCUGGUGGGAAAGAGGUUUUCCUGCAGGUUGCAAACUUGCCACCAAGUCCCUGAAAGAGCAGAGUGAAGGGCAUCUGGGGGGACAAGAACUCAGAUUUCAGGACACCUCCGUCUCUCCUGUGUCUCCGUAGAAUCAGGCACUCGAGUGACUGUGACACCAAGUGCAGCCUCUCUCUCUUUAGGGUGCCUCCAAUCUUCUCAACCUAUGUCACAUAUAAGAGAGGUGUCUGCCUGGACCAAUCUGAGCCUCGCUUUCCUCCUCUACAAAAUAGGAAGAGGGGUCCGUGCUCCGCCCACCUCACAGGGGUGUUUGUCACAACAGUGGAAACGGGGUAUGGACGUGUGAGCGUUAGGUGUGGAUCAAGGCAGAAGAUAGGGCUUAUUAUCAUUUGCCACAUCUGGGUUCUGAACUAGCAAGAAAGGAAGAACUUGACUUUGGCACGUCUCUCCUCAUUCCCCAGGCUCUAGGCAGGUGUCCAGGAGGUGGGCCCAGCGUUGUGGAUUUCUGAACGUCCUGAUGAUCACGACGCCGUGGCUUUGCCAGCCUGCAGCGUGCGUCUGUCAUGCUGGGGGUAGAAGCAGGGCAGCCCACAGGCAGCUCUGCUUGCUCCUGGGUGGGCUGGUGCAGAGGGUCUCAGCCACCUCUGCAGCCAGAGAACCCGUCCAGCCCUCCAGACCCAGGGCGAUGGCAGAAGGCAGAGCAGGGCUGCCCCCCUCAAUGUGCAUGUCCACUGGGCACCCCCACUGCACCAGAACAGAGAAGCAGGGGUGAACGGGGGUCCCUGCCCUCAAACGAGGGGAGGAGGGGAAGAUGGGCCCUCGGCUGUGGAAGCCUUUCCACAUUCGAGUAGAGCAAACGCAUCAAGAGUCCUAAGAAACCCUGUAGGAGAUCUUCAGUUCAGAUCAGAAGGGGUGGUUUUGAACUUGGCCUGAAAGAUUUCUAAGGGGUGUGGGCUUUAUAGACAGAAGUAUCUGUGUGAACAAAGGCAGGAAAGUAGAGAAAACCCAUAAUGUGUUCGAGAACCUCGGUUAUUGGAGUAGAAUAUAUGAGAGGAGGAGAAGCUGGAGGCAGGAACAGAAGGGGAGAGGCAGGGAGGGAGGAGUCUGGAAAAGAGGGGGAGGGGAGAGGGGAAAUGAGGAGGGGGAGGGAGAAGGAAGGGGAGGGGAAUAAAGACCACCCUUCCACCUGGAUGCCCACUGCCUUAGGAAAUCUGAAUUGUUAAAACGGAAAUUGGAGUUCCUGGUAUGGCCCAGCGGGUGAAGAACCUGACUAGCAUCCAUGAGGACGUGGGUUUGAUCCCUGGCCUUGCUCAAUGCCGUGAGCUGUGGUGUAGGUCACAGAUGCGGCUUGGAUCUGGUGUUGCUACGGUGGUGGUGUAGGCCUGCAGCUGCAGCUCUGAUUUGACCCCUAGCCUGGGAACAUCCAUAUGCCAUGGGUGUGGCCCUAAAAAAAUAAAACAACAUAAAAUAAAAUAGGUAAAACCGGGAAGGCUUUCUUGCUAGUUCUAGCUGUCCCACCCCCAUCCAAACCCCACUCUUUGGGUGUGAGGCAGGGUGGGUGGGGGAGAGUUUCUUGGAGGGAGGGGUUCCCAGAAGACAUCCUUGCAGGCCUCCUGCUGCCCUGAGCUCCUGGCCCCUGGCCCUGGGGAGUGGUCUGGGGGGAGCAGCCCCUUCCGGGCUCCACUGCCUGUAGAUGGGAAUUCAGCUGCCAGCUCCCCUCGUGGUUGCUGUUGGCUAGGCCAUUGCUUGGUUUCUUGAUUUCUAAAGCGGAGGGACCGUGACCCCCUCACCAGCAAGGCCUUGGCCAGGGGCAGUGAGCGAGCCCUGAGGCUUCUGGCCACAGCAGCUGGUGCUGGCUGGAUUCCAGCACUUUCACCCCAAAGCCCUUGUGUCCCAGUGGCUUCUCCUUGGGCCCAGCAUGAAGCAGGACCAAAAACCCCAGGAAGAAGCCAGGCUUCUCCAGGGCCUUCCCUGUCCCAGGACUUCUGGGUGCCUUUGUUCAGAAUCGUGAUGCUGCCUGCUGAGAAGAAAAUAAUGCCCCUCGUUCAGAGCCACCUGAGCGUUUAUUCACUGGCUUUAUUUUCACCUAAUGUGACAUUUGCUACUGCUUUUCAUAUCUUGAGCAAAGUGUCUCCAAUAAACAGGUGUAUUUUAAAGAGCUCUUAUCAAUGAAUCAGUGAGACAAAUUAGUUUCUAAAAUCCUGUUCCCCCGAACAGAUGUCUGGAAAUUUCUCAGGACUUCCAGAAGGGAGUCUUUGCCAUGAGACUUUCUACUUUGCGUGGUGAUUAGGAACUGAUUCCACUGCUAAGAGCUUAUCAUUUGAUGGGAGAGGGGAGUUGUUGGCAGGAAGUUGAGCGUGCAGCUCCAUGUAACAGUGAGGCUGGCAGACCAGUUCAGCCUGCAAGCUAAGCCAUGGCCCCAUCGGGGUCUCUGGGUCAGGCAAAACCAGAGUCAGGUAGAGAGACGGAGAGCUUGGUCUUCCCUGGGGAUGAGGGGCAGAGCCAGAUGCAGGUUUUAUGAGCCCUAACGUUUAUGCAGUUUGGGGAGCCCUCCUUCAUAAAACAACACAAAAUUAUGAAAACAAAAUUAGGCACAAAAGCGAAUCUGUAUUUCAAAUGAGGAACUAAGUCACAGCCAAUUACAAACAAUAAAAACAUUAAAAUUUUUUUUUUACUUAGGAAUUCCCUUUGUGGCUCAGUGGUAACAAACCUGACCAGUAUCCAUGAGGAUGCGGGUUGAAUCCCUGGCCUCGCUCUGUGCUGCUGUGGCUGUGGUGGAGGCUGGCAGCUGUAGCUCCAAUUUGACCCCUAGCCUGGGAACUUCCAUGUGCCGCAGGAGCGGCCCUAAAAAGCCAAAAUAAAUAAAUAAACAAUCAAAUAAAUAAAUAAAUAUUUAAAAAGAUAAAAAACCCCACAGACAUGACAAAAAUUCAUUAAAAAUGAACAUAAUUUCAACUCAGCCAUCAAAAAGAACGAAAUACCAGCAUUUUUAGCAACAUGGAUGGACCUAGAAACUAUCAUGCUAAGUGAAGUCAGCCAUACAAUGAGGCACCAACAUCAAAUGCUUUCACUGACAUGUGGAAUCUGAGAAAAGGACAGACGGAACUUCUUUGCAGAGCAGAUGCUGACUCACAGACAUUGAAAAACUCCAGAGGAGACAGUUUGGGCUGUGGGAUGGAAAUCCUGUGAAAUCAGAUUGUUAUGAUCAUUAUACAACUACAGAUGUGAGUUAAAAAAAAAUGGACAUAAUUUCAAAAAGUCCAUUGCUCGACCUGCCCGGAUGAUAUUUUUAUUCCCACAUUUUGGGGGCUGAAUUUUGCUGUCCUCUGUCAUAUUGCAACUCCUUUUGCAAAAGCGUUUCUCCAGAAAUCAAAAAUGGCUCCAAUUUUCUUUCAUAGUUGGCUAAACUUUGAUGUUUUGGGGGCUUAAUUUUGAAUGUUUCUUUUAGCUUCACCAUGCCUUGCUGAUAGUGUCAUAAAUUACUGCGUAUGUGAGGAACCCUCUCUUACCGUGCUUGCAUUUGUCAGUGGGAAGAUUUCAAGGCUUUCCCCCAUCGUCUCGGGCACAGACAUCCUCUCCUCUCUGAAUUGAUGACACUCAUUAGGCAGCUGCCUCUGCUAUUCACGCCGUUAGUGAUGGAUUCAGAGCUUCAGCGCAUCUUCACGGGUGUCAGUAUUUCAUGCCAAUCCAGUGUGAAAUCAAUAAGAGCCACAGCGAUGGUUGGGCUAGGACAUUUCUGGCUGAGGGGAAGGGUCACACUUCAUAAGACAAAGGUGAAGGGCCCACUUUGGGGAAGUGGGGCAUCCAGGCAGCUCCCGGGGCGGGGGGAGCCUUAAGGCUGGAAAGCACAUGAGAGCAGACGAGAGCAGGAAAACAGUGCUGGCAAGCCUCUGAAAAGAGACUAACUUGCCUUGGCUUAAGGAAUUAAAAUCCUGUCCAUGCCUCUCUCAGCAUGUGACAGCCAAUGCAGUGGAUUCUAAAGAUCGGGUCAGACAAGCCUCGGUUUGACUCUUCCCUGGCACUUCAUGGCUGGGGAAAACUUGCCACACACGGCCUCGUGGUACUCAAGUCAUUGUGGGCUGGAUACAUUUAUACCCAUCAUCCAAACUGAAUGUAUUUCCAAAGGAACUUUUCCUUGGCCUGAUCCCCAAAAUGCUGCUGAUCUUUGAAGGCCUCAGACUGGAGGGGCAUUGAGCCCCAUGCUGGGGAGCUGGAGUAGCAAGGGGCCGAUUCUGAAUCAUUUGAAGUGACUGUAGCUUGCUUUUGCAAGUUUUGCUAAAAUAUAUGACCACGAGAACAUACCGUUAGAGCACACACCUCCCAAGACCUGAGAAGAGGCCCAGGUAAGCCAGGGGUCCUGAAAUUUAAGCCCCAUUAGCCUUAUGGCAGAUGCACCUCUGGGAAGGCUGCCUGGAGGAAGAGGCAGGUGAGCCAGGCCUAGGAGUCUUUGGCUGGACCUUGAGAGUGGACAUUUCAAGUGCAGGGAUUAAAGUGAGAAAAGCUGUCCAGGGUUCCCGAAUGGAGAGAAGCCUUGACUGCUUGGCUGAAGGGCUGACUUGAUCCUGGAGACGAUGGGGAGCUGUAGCAUGUAGGUGAUUACGGUCCUUGGGGAGGGUUAGUCUGACAGCAGGCGUCGGACAAGAGAUGAGCAGCAGCCCAUGAGGAGGGACCUGGGUCAGAGUACUAGGACUUUUGAAGGACCAGGAAAGGGAGGUCUGAUCGGAGAAGGCUUUAGAAGGCAGAGCCACCAAGGCUGGGGUGUGGGGAUACAAAAGACCCAGGAGAACCCAGGCAGCACUGCUGUACUGACGGCUCAGGAUGUUAACAGGUGUUACUUGAAAGAAAAAGAAUGAUAUGGCCAAAUACAUCUUGGAAACACUGAUGAUAAUAUAACUGCACAGGGAGUUUCUGUUGUGGCUCAGCAGUAAUGAGCCUGACUGGUAUCCACAAGGAUGAGGGUUCAAUCCCUGGCCUCGCUCAGUGGGUUAAGGAUUCAGCAUUGCUGGGAGCUGUGGUGUAGGUCGCAGAUGUGGCUCAGAUCCCGCAUUGCUGUGACUGUGGUGUAGGCUGGCAGUGGUAGCUCUGAUUCGCCCCCUAGCUUGGGAACCUCCAUAUACCAAGG
RNAcentral lists this long non-coding RNA (5839 nucleotides) under Sus scrofa (pig). Its description in RNAcentral is "lncRNA (ENSSSCG00000063254.1)". The record is from RNAcentral. Lineage: Eukaryota; Metazoa; Chordata; Mammalia; Artiodactyla; Suidae.